RNAcentral lists this unclassified non-coding RNA (336 nucleotides) under soil metagenome. Its description in RNAcentral is "partial contains 5.8S ribosomal RNA, internal transcribed spacer 2, and large subunit ribosomal RNA". The stretch from base 1 to 120 matches the Rfam family "5.8S ribosomal RNA", at positions 35 to 154 of the family's 154-position model. The record is from RNAcentral.
GAUGAAGAACGCAGCGAAACGCGAUAAGUAGUGUGAAUUUCAGAAUUCAGUGAAUCAUCGAAUCUUUGAACGCUCAUUGCGCCCGCCAGUAUUCUGGCGGGCAUGCCUGUUCGAGCGUCAUUUCAACCAUCAAGCCCCAGGCUUGUGUUGGGGACCUGCGGCUGCCGCAGGCCCUGAAAACCAGUGGCGGGCUCGCUGUCACACCGGGCGUAGUAGAUUUUAUCUCGCUCUGGGCGUGCUGCGGGUUCCGGCCGUUAAAAAACCCUUUUAACCCAAGGUUGACCUCGGAUCAGGUAGGAAUACCCGCUGAACUUAAGCAUAUCAAUAAGCGGAGGA